Molecule: RNA transcript, 4584 nt
Organism: Lytechinus pictus (painted urchin)
Lineage: Eukaryota; Metazoa; Echinodermata; Echinoidea; Temnopleuroida; Toxopneustidae
Gene name: 5-hydroxytryptamine receptor 1F-like
Exons: 3
Source: RefSeq, a predicted model, not a curated record
AGAUCAGACCAACUUGGCCAAAGACCCUGAGAGUAUCUUUCAAUGCUCUUCAGAAGAGAGAUUCUUUAAACCAGGAAGUGUACUUGUCCGAUCACAGAGCCAAUAAUCGACCAUGUACGCUGAAGGCAAUACAACUGAAUUACUUCAAGAACAUACAGAAAUAGCAGGUACAGAACUUACAGAAGUAGGUACAGAGCCUGAUAGAAAUCGAUGGAUCCCGUUGUUACUCCUGGUUUUCGUGUUCAUUAUGAUUGCGAUCAAUGGUAUCUGCCUGGCCGCCUUUGCCGUCGAGAAACAGCUGCGUGGCUACAACAACUACUUCAUCAUAAACCUUACGAUUUCGGACUUUAUCUUCGGGAUUUUUCUCGUCAUUACAUGCUUACACAUGUACCUUGGGCGUCUUCCCUUUCCCUUUCCGGUUAGGUGCAAGGUGUUCUACGGUGUCAGCAACAGCAUCCAAUUCGUAUCUAACCUGAUCAUCGUCACCAUCUGCGUUGACAGACACCGGGCAACCUAUAAUCCCAUCGGACAUUUCACAAGACGAAGAAAGCGAACGGCGCUCUACACCAACAUCUGCGUGUGGAUCGUUUCUUUUGUUUUCUGGUUUUCAUACUCGACGGUUCCUGACUAUAUUCUGCAGUUUCGGCUUGGUUCAGAGUGUUUUCACUGGUAUUCUGUGUUUCCAAUCGCCCAAUUGUCGACCGUACUGAUCCGCUUCAUCAUCCCUUUCACCAUAAUGUUGAUUCUCUACAUACGGAUCUUCAUAAAGAUUCGAGGGAUCGCCAGUGGAAGGCACAUCGACAAGGAGUUUACCGAAGAUACCACAGUGUCAGAUCAUAGCCUACCGGAAGGUGAUGUCAAGGAAAAUAAACAGCGCCCUCAAGUAAAGACAAUAUCUGGAGUUCAAAAAGCCGCAAAUCGUGAGCCGGCCUCAGAGGUUCGAAGCGCCACCAAGACCCUACUCUUCAUCGUCAUGGCCUUCUUCAUCACGUGGUUCCCAACGUCUCUUUUGGCGAUUGUCGUCACUAUCGAUCGAACGCUCGGCUACCCGCGGCUACCCUACUGGGCUUUUUGGAUAACUAUUUGGCUCGUUUACGUGAACGGUCUACUCAAUCCGAUCUGUUACGUCAUCUCCCAACCGCUCUUCAGGAAAACCGUAUUUGGUUUGCUCUGCCGCCCUAUCCGGUAUUGUCGUUGCUAGGAUAAUUACCCCCACCCGCUUUACCACGAUACAGACUCAGAAACACGAUUUAUUACAAAACGUAGUUUCAAAAUCUAGUGUAGAAUCUUUUGGACUGUUAUUAAUUAGACACACAUUCUGUUAAGAUAGAAGAUGAAUAUGAACACAAAAUUAUAGUUUCACAUCGUGUUCUAUGGUGAAUUAAUGCCCAGACACUUUGGUUUGUUGUACGAUGUUCAGACACACACACACAUUUCUGGUAAUCAUUGAGGUAUAUGUUUUGUGACAAAAAAAAGAAUUGGAUUUAUGUGGUAACAUAAACCAUAGAUUAAUAUCCUUGUGCUCACUCUCACAGGCGCACAAUGGCCCGUUUUCUGAAGGCAAUCUUAACUUGUUGAACAUGUCAAAAUUAUCUUUACAUUGCAUGUUUCUUACGUUUACAGAGGUCCUUUGUCUUUCCUUUAUUCGCCAUCCCCAGAGAGUUAUAAAUGGUUUGAAUGUCAAAUGUACUUAUGGAAUGAACCUGUAAUGUUAGAGUUUGGUGUCACAAUUGGCUAUCCAUAGUUAAACCACAAAAUUAGAUCAGAGUUCUAAAGUAAACACGAGAUCAGAAUAUGGUUCCUAGUCUUUUUAUCACUCCCUCACAUGCAUAUAACAACGUUUCUUUCUUUAUGUUAUCAUCACUAUCGUCAUCAUUGUCGUCAUCAUCAUCAUCAUUACCAUUAUCAUAAAAAAGCAUCGCCAUCCUCGUGACAUAUAUAUGGUCUAUUUUGCACGAAAUUCAUUCUGCAGCGUGGUCAAAGACAAAGGGUAUUUGAGAGAGAGAAAACCUUGGGGUGCAAUAUCAUUCAAAUUGAUAAUGCAAGUAUGUCAUAACCUCUUUCUGUUUCCAGGGUAAGUUGUUACGAAAGCAUAGUUGCGUUCUUACAUGGCAAAAAUGAUUUUAGUUACCCAACACCUGAUGUCAUUGCCAUACUUUGCCUUGCUUUGCUAAAAAUAAAUUAUUCUUAGACAGUUAGAUAGAGAUACAUGUACUUGGCUUUUCUCUUUUUGCAUUCUCCUAGGAAAAGAGAAACAUCUUUAAGGCGUGAAUAGAAGCACUUUCUCGCGUAGGCCACCGUCUUUGUAAGAACAGUUGAAAAAACACUAUACCUAAUACAUGUAGAAACAAAAUAUCUUUUUGUCAGAAGCGAUGAAUGAAUUAAUCAGGGACACGUCGAUAUCGCUGCUGUAUAGAUACGGGGGCAUUGGGGCGCUGGCCCCCAAAGUUUUACGAACAAGAAAAGAAAAGAUGAAAAUCCGUAUCUUAUUUUUCGAAAUAGACAUGUAAUGAAAUACUCCGAAAAUUUACUUUGCCCAAUAUUGAUCGUCGGCCCGGCAACCGCUGUGUAGAGCCAGAUCGACGAGGGUAGCAGCAACUCCCAUCUUUUGGUCUGACGCGGCCGGGAAGGGGAAUGAAAUGGUGACGUGUGAUAAUAUUUCAACGUUAUCAAUACCAUGUCAACAUUUAUCAAAAUUAAGAAUUCCAUUUUAAGAAGGCAAAGUUUUCACUUUCUCUCUUUAUUUGUUCCUGAUCGCUUAGAAAGCUUUCCUCAGACAUACGCCAUGCUGCGGUCCUAGUAUUUGGCUCACUAUGCCACUGUUCACUGCACUGUAUCUUCUUCUGUUCUCAAUGUUCUUAUGAUUUAUGAACUAUUGAUUUAUCCCAUGUGAUAUCCUUUAAGAUAUCUAUAGGCCUAUAUUAUCGUGUCCUCAAUACACGCAGGCAUGUACAGUGUACCUUUAUUAACCAACAGAUCGAUAUAGUUACACAACCACUUAUCUCCAACCGUGUUAUACAUUACGCUUCUACUCAAUAUCUUGCAAAAAAUAGUACCUUUCGUCACGGAAUCUUUUUAUCCUAACUAUCUAUUGAAAAAGUGAUAUCCAUAUGAAAGGAAUGAUAUUCCUUUCAAGGGAAACUGCCUCGUAUAUAAGUCAAAGCAUUUUAGUAUCGAAAUACUACCUUGAGUGACGGUCAGCAAGAGCAUGUAGCCAUAUUUGUAUUGGGUUUGAUAAGAAUAUAACAGUAGUAAGUUAUCCUUCAUGCAACGAUUAUAGUGCCACUAGUAAAAUAAAAAAAAUUAGAAACAUAAUUUCUAGCUCCGUAGUGAGAGUCAUGUACGCGGACGGGAAUACGACCGACGUUUUUCAGGAGCAACAAGAAACAGUAGCGACGGAAACGGAUGAUGAGAGACGUGGUCUCCACGCCCUGCUCCUACCGCUGCUCCUAGUGGCCCUCAUCAUCACGACCAAUGGCCUCAGCCUGGCAGCAUUUGCCGUCGAAAAACGACUCCGUGGCUACAACAACUACUUCAUCAUAAACCUUACAAUCUCUGACUUUCUCUUUGGGUUUGUCAUCAUCGUGACAUCCUUGCAUACCUAUUUUAGACGAUUCCCAUUCCCUGGUAACAACUCGUGCCGGAUCUUCUACGGUGUCUUCAGCAGCGUCCAGUUUGUAUCAAAUCUGAUCAUCGUCACCAUCUGCAUCGAUAGACACCGAGCAACCUACGAUCCCAUCGGGCAUUUCACCACCAGGAGCAAGCGAAAGGCGAUCUACGCGAUCGGCCAGAUAGUACCAGUAUUUAUUCGGUUCAUCAUCCCUUUCACAAUCAUGCUGAUAAUCUAUGUGCGGAUCUUCGUGAAGAUCCAAAAGAUAGCCGGUAGAAAGCACAUCGGUGAAGUUUUUAAUGGGGACACUUCAUGGUCGCGGCAAAGCAAAUCGGACGGUGGUAACGACGCUGGUGAUUCCAAAGAAGGCCCCAUUACUACCAUAGAAUCUGGUGGUCAGAAAGCAGUCAAGCGUGAAUCAGCAUCCGAGGUUCGCAGCGCCACAAAGACACUCCUCUUCAUCGUCAUCGCUUUCUUUAUUACCUGGUUUCCAGUUUCUGUCAUCUCCUUUAUCUACUCGAUUGAACCGACACUCAUCUAUCCACGGCUUCCUGACUGGGCGCAUUUGGUACCCGGUUGGCUGGUCUACGUGAAUAGCUUACUCAAUCCGCUUUGCUACGUUGUCUCGCAGCCGCUGUUUCGGAAAACCGUAUUCAGUUUGAUCCGCCACCCUAUCCGGUAUUGCAGAGGGAAAUAAUCAUCUGUUUUAUUAGAUUAUGGCGGGUUUGGAAUUUUUGCAUUUGUAAUUUGAAGUCUAAUAAUCAAUUGACCGAAUCUUUCGAUUCUCAGUGUCCAAGCUCCUGAUAAAGACCGGUAAGGUUCUAAACAGUAACAGCAAAUUGGAUUUAAAAAUAUACUUAAUAUGCAAACUCUCCUGUUUAAGAAAUCUUUUGAAAAGUUUUAUUCGGAUCCAGUGGCGUACCUAGGAUUUUCCACAGGGGGGGCAAAACCGUCCGCCCAAAAAUUUGACAAGC